RNAcentral lists this long non-coding RNA (33812 nucleotides) under Citrus x clementina. RNAcentral's name for it is "Citrus clementina (C. clementina) long non-coding RNA (CCLE_LNC002646)". The record is from RNAcentral. Lineage: Eukaryota; Viridiplantae; Streptophyta; Magnoliopsida; Sapindales; Rutaceae.
UUAUUAUUAAUGGGCUCAUGGCUAAAUGAAAUUCAAUUUAUUGGACUUAAUUGUUAUAUUUAUAAGUAGACAUAAAUUGAUUUCGAUUUGUCUUUUUAAAAUUAGGAAUUGAUUAAUAAUUAAAUAAUUGUUAAGUUGAAUUGUGUGGUAGAUUCUUAAAUCCCGGUAGCCUUAAUCUCUUGAAUUCUUAAUUUGCUUGCAUAUUUACUUGUAUCUUUAGUUCUAAUUUUCUUAAACGAAAUAUUUUCUUUCUAUGUAAAGGUAUAAUUAACUUAUAUUAAAUUUUACUUUCCUAAAAAUUAACAGUUCUUAUAGGUAUGACUUCAUUAUUCUUAAUAUAUACUUCACUUGACUUAUGCAUUUACAAAUACAUUAAAAUUUGCACAAAAUUUGACUAUGUGCAUUUCUCAGGUGACAAGAAUACACACACACACAUUUAUAAACUGCCUGCAAACCCAUGUACAUUUUAAUUUCUUAAAAUGAACAUUUACAAACAGUUUAUGAAACUAAGAAAUUUGCACCCAUACAUUGUCUAAAUUUAAUGUUUUUGGCAGCAUACCUUCUGCUCCAACUCAAUUUACUUGCAAUCUGAUAUCCCAAAAAAAAAAAUUCAUAAGUUUCCGUUAUAUAAAUCAUUACAUUACAUGGCAAAUCUUUGAAAAAUGAAAAUCGAAAGAUUAAACAGAGAAAAUAAGAAAAUUUCAGUAUCUGAUGUAAAUUAACAUAUAAACACCAAAAAAAGCAAAUAAAAAAGAGAUUUAAGUUUCAGAAACUCGUAAUAAAAUACAAAAUGGAGGAAUCAUGUACCUGAGGCUAGAGGAUAAAUGAAUGAUGGUUUUUGAGGAUAUGCAGAGAUUGUUUUCUAAAUAGGACAGAAUCUUAAUUCUUAUGGCUUCAAGAGGAGGUAUGUUCUUAAAAAUAAAUACUCACAUGUCAUAAUAUCAUUUAUUUAUUAUAUAGUUGACAUAUGAUCUUAGAGUUACUUUAAAAUUCCUUAAGGAGAUAGAUAUAGCAUGAAUCUUUCCCCUACAAGAUAGGGAUUAUUCCCCCUCGAAGAUUAUCAUUGACUAUAGGAGACAAAUCCCUUGAUUUUAGCCUUUUAGUGUGACUGUGAUUAUUUAAUUAUCUCCACAUGCCACAUUAGUUUGAAAUUAUCUACAUAUGCUUAACCCAUAUAAUUAUUAAAAUAUCCUCAGUUAAAUUAGGUUGAUACAUGAAUUGUAUGACUCAUUGUUGUGUAACGAGUAGUAAAUUCUAUGUAUCGUGUAUAUUUGUUGCACUGCUCAUGCCAAAACAGUUUUGUGAGAGUAGUGAUAUUUGAUCCCAUGUAUUUAUUUCAUGUCCUUAGUUUUCAAUUACUCGUUUAUUUCUGAAUUUACCAUUAUUAAAAAAUAAAAAUAACAAAAAGUUCUUUUAUUCUAUGAUUUAUCUCUCUCUCAGUCUCUUGAAUUAUCAAUUUCUGAAAAUUGAGCGAAAAUUGAAUUGAAGUUGAAAUUUUUUAUCAGAGGAAGGGAAUUAAUAUUAAAACUUUUUUACAAGAAAAGGACCAUUAUCAAUAAUUAUUUAGCGUGUUCUAUGCAUGCGUGUAUGAAAUAAAAACUCACAAUUAGAAAAUUAAAAACUUAUAGGAGGUCAAGAAAAUCUAUACUUCUAAUACUAAAGGUAUUAACAAUAAGUUCUUGCUUGAAACAUGUCCCAAAUUUAAUGGCAUUCUUGAUAUUAAACUAGAACCAUCAAAGAUAAAAGUUUAGAAGCUAUAUAUUUACUCAACCCACCAACUCAAUCAGGGGUGACUUUAAGCAUAGGCGAACAAAGCGAUUACCUAAGACCUUAUAUUUUUUGAAUGCCUCAUUUUUUUUUAGUAUUUCUUAAUAGUUAUUUAAUUAAUAAUCAUCCUUUUUUAAAAAAAUUAUGUAUUGUAGAAAAGCCUAUUAGACAUCUUUAUAAUUAACAGUUAAAUCACAACUAAGAAUUAUUAUUUUUUAACAGAAAAUCAGUAUUUGGUAACCUUAAUGUUCAAGAGAUAUAAUUAAUAAAAUUGUUUAGCCAUUAAUUCAUUCAUUAUUAGUUUUUCAAAAAAAAAAUAAUUUUUUUACCUUUUAAGUUUCCUAAAAAAUUAAAUUCUUUGACUUUUAAUAUUCCUUUUAAUUUCCAUUAAAACCUUGUAAUAUAAAAAAUCAAUAAAUAAAUAGAUUUCUUGCUCUUUUUUUUUACGAAGAGAAUUAUUACAUUCAUUGAUUCAUUUAAAAAAGAAAAAAUUAGUUUCUUAAAAUACAAUGUGCAUAUUUAUUAUUUGAUAAUCAAUUCAUCAUCUCAACUUUCUACUAUUCUAAAUAUUCUAUUUGAAAAUAAUAUUGUUUUUAUGUAUUUGUUUGUUUAUUUUUGUAAUAUUUUAAUGGAAGUAAAAAAGAUAUCUUCUUGGUUUUUUUUUAGGUUUGGUUUUUGAAAAUUUUUAAGAUAUUUUUUAUUACUAUUAAAAUUCAAGAGUUAAAAGUCGAAUGAAUUUUUUAGUCUUAUAUUUCUUUAAAUAUUAAAAUUGCAAAAUAAAAAAAGGCCCCACAAAAAAUUUUUGCCUAAAGUCCCAUAUACUCUAAAGCCAGCCCUGAACUCAAUCAUAGAUCAUGAGCCAUACCCUUAUUUUCUGUUUUCAUGUUGUAAAAUCUGUACUUCUAAUAAUUUUUAACAGCGCAUGUAUUAAGCGCGUUGCCAAAAAGUGGAUUUCACAACAAUCAUCUUGUGAAGGUGGCUAUAUUCUUGUUGUUAUAUCCUAUUUUUCUUUGUACUGGGGAUGAUGAACAAACCAAAUAUAAAUCGAGCAAAUAAAUUAAGUAUAAGGGACCACAAUUCUCAAACUGGAAGUGAAUUGUCGUCUCAAAUUUAAUUGCAAUGACAGAGAAUUAGGUGAAGUUGCAGAAAAAUUUUAGAAAAGUGGUAAAGAUGACAACAAAGAUUGUGAUGCUUUUAGAGUUUGCUAGCUCAAUUCUUGCUUCAUGCCAAGCCUACUUUGACCAAUACUUUAGCACAAAUGUUACAGGUUAGAUUUUCAUUACGAACUGUAACCUGCACAGCAUAGCUCUGACAGAACACAUUACGUAUAUUGUGAGUUGUCACCGUUUUUAAGUUACUAUUGUGAAGUCAACUAACUGGUAGAGCCUUAUUAUAACUAAUGCUGUAAAUGGUUAUUCUGGAAGCAAAUGCUAGCUUGAUUUUUCAGAAAAGGUGUUCCUAAUUCUUGCUUGGGGGGAUUGAAUUUUGGAUUGAAAUGUUUAUUUGCGAAAUAUUUUUACAGGAUCCAGAAUUGUGAGCUUUGGACAUUUCUUGUGGAAUGUUUUGGUUAUUUUAAGUGUCUUUUGUUACCAUUAAAUUAACCCUAAGGGAAAAAAAUGCUUAUAGUUGGGAAAAGUUUUGAUGGAUCGAUAUUUUUCAAUAUAGUUUUUUACUUAGCUUAUUAUAUAUGAGUCAUGUUUAGAUGCAAGUCCGCAUUUUAAAUGACUGCAGAAGCUUGUUUCAAAUAUAGUCAUCUUUAGCUUGGUUCAAAUUUUUUUCUAUUUUAUUUUUUAGAAACGACUGCAGAAGCUUGUUUGUUUAAACUUGAAAAUAGGUAAAUGUCUUGAAUAAAGUUGAUGAUGGUAGUUUCAUGUAAACCUUUUUUUUUCUUGUUGUGUCUAAUCUCUUCAUGUACAGGUUCUUGUGGUCAACUUGAAAAUGGCUAAAAUUGUGGAUAAGGGUAACGAGACUAACUUCAAGGAGAUCGAUGAUGUGAACCAACAAAAUGAAAUUUUAAGGAAAAAUCAGCCUUUCAUUGUAAGUCUUCUGAUAGUAAAUAUUAUGUGUUUGAUUGUUGGUAAGUAUUUGUUGGAAUUGUAAAAAAAAAAAAAAAAAAAAACUUAGAAAAAUGACCUAAAACUUAUGAGUCGACAUUAGGUGUGAAAUAAAACAAAAAAUAUAUACACCACACACAGGACUAAUAAAUUGAAGGAAAAUGGGCAAAUUAAUGUUGAAGUAAUAAAUAGGAACAAGAAAUUGUAAACAAAACAAAAACUUAGAAAAAUAACAUAAAACUUAUAAAUUGACAUUAAGUUUGAAAUGAAACAAAAAGUUUGUAAACCGGGUAUAAGACUAGUAAAUUGAUGGGAAAAAAAGGUAAAUAAUUAAUAUUGGAGUUGUAAAUUGGAAUAAGAAAUUGUAAAUAAAAUAAGAACUCAGAAAAAUGACAUAAAACUUAAAAAUUGAUAUUAAGUGUGAAAUGAAACAAAAAAUUUAUAAAUCACGCAUAGGACUAGUAAAUUGAAGCAAAAAGAGGACUAGUAAAUUGAAGCAAAAAGAGGACUAGUAAAUUGAAGCAAAAAGUGGUAAAUUGAUGUUGGAGUCGUAAAUUAGAACAAGAAAUUAUAAAAAAGAUAAAAAAUUAAAAAAAUAACAUAAAACUUGUAAAUUUGAUAUUAAGUGUGAAAUUAAAUAAAAAAAUUAUAAACCAUACAUAGGAUUAGUAAAUUAAAUGAAAAAUAGAUAGAUUAAUGUUGGAGUAGUAAAUUAGUCUUUCGAAUUGUAAACAAAAAAACAAAAACUUAGAAAAAUUAUAUAAAACUUGAAAAUUUACAUUAAGUGUGAAAUGAAAUAAAAAAAUUUGUAAACUACAUAUAGGACUAGUAAAUUGAAGGAAAAAUGAGUAAAUUAAUGUUGGAGCAGUAAAUUGAAAAAAGAAAUUAUAAACAAAAUAAAAAUUUAGAAAAAUGACAUAAAACUUGUAAAUUAACAUUAAGUUUGAAAUGAAACAAGAAAUUUGUAAACGCGCAUAAAACUAGUCAAUUGAGGCAAAAAAUGGUAAAAUAAUGUUGGAGUGGUAAAUUAGAAGAAGAAAUUAUAAAAAAGACAAAAAAUUAAAAAUAAUAUAAAACUUAUAAAUUGAUAUUAAGUAUGAAAUAAAAAAAAAUUAUAGACCGCACAUAGGACUAGUAAAUUAAAUGAAAAAUGAGUAGAUUGGUGUUGGAGUAGUAAAUUGGUCUUUGGAAUUGUAAAAAAAAAACUUAGAAAAAUGACAUAAAACUUGAAAAUUGACAUUAAUUGUGAAAUGAAAUAAAAAAAAAAUGCAAACUACGUAUAGGACUAAUAAAUUGAAAAAAAUGGGUAAAUUAAUGUUGGAGCAGUAAAUUGAAACAAGAAAUUAUAAACAAAAUAAAAACUUAGAAAAAUGACAUAAAACUUAUAAAUUGACAUUAAGUGUCAAAUAACACAUUAAAUUUGUGAAUCACACAUAAGACUAAUAAAUGUAACCUCUAACGUGAACAAAAAAAUAUAAUUACUGAUUACUUACCUAUUUAUUUAUGAUUAAUGGUAGAGAUUUUUCAUUCAAUCUAAUGGUUUACGUCUAUUACGAUAUUGAAACCGUAAUUUUAAUUAUGGUAUUAUAGAAUGACCCAAAUAACAAAUUAAAAAAGCAACGGGUUGGCAAUACAAAAUCAAAAGAAGGACAAAAUAUGAAAAGCAAGGUACGUAAUUCCACUGAAUGGAAGCCCUAAACUGUCCCCCCAGGGGGUCUACCAACAAAUUAAAGCUCUGGAGAACUAUCACUUCUAUCUAGGCAUAUAAAUUAUUUACUUAAGUGUGUUCAUCUUUAUUACAUGCUCUCUCACAUUAUAGUUCAAAUUUAUUUAGGAGAAAGUAGAAAUGGGAGCUCACCGCUGACUUAUAGGGCAUGGCUACCGUGCAGGUAUGUAUGUGAUGUAGAGGUAGAUGCUUACCAUUGGAUUCAGUAAUAUGAAACCUAACGGAUAAGAUUAAAUUUAUAAUUAAAUCAAGUAAUUUGAGAAGACUAGAAAUUCAGUUAUCAUGUCCCUUGUAUAACUUGUGAGUAAUAGUGCGGAAAUUAAUAGCAGUAAAUAUGAAACUACCGCCAUUAAACAUAUAAUUUUUACCCAAAAUUUAUAUCGUAAAACCUUAAGCAAAAAAUUUUAAAUUUAAUAAUUAUACUUGAAACCACCACCAUCCAAUAUGGAAUUAAAACUUACCUAAAAUCUUGAAGCAAAUUAUUGUGUAAAACUAAUAAUGAGAACAUGAUACUAUUAAUCGACAUAAAACCUUAUGAGAUGAGAUUAAUAGUUUACUAUGUGAAACUUGAAUGCCAACAUGAAAUGGGGGUAAAAAAGAAAAAGUUUUAGGAUAUUUGGAAUAUCCUACGUCAAACAUAAAAUUAUAAAUAUGAAACAUUUUACUUAAGAUAAAUAUGAAACAGAAAACAUGAGUAUGUUAAAACAUGAAAAACAAAACGCUAGUCAUGAAAUUUGAAAAGUUUGACCUGAAACUUGAAUGGCAAAAUGACAUGAGAGGGAAAAGAAAAUUUUGUGUGUAUUUAGAAUUUAUGAUAUAAAACAUGAAAUAAAAUACAUGAUCCUUUUAGAUGUUAAACACGAGACAAAAAUUAUAAGACAUGAAUUGCACUUCUAUCUUUUUGCAGAUAUAAAUUUUAUUUUAUUUUUAAUAAUACUGAUUAUAUAAAAUAUUUGUUUCAUUUUUUCUAUAAUCAUCCUUUUUUAUUAUUUUUUAAAAAUUAUAUAAAUCAUAAAUAUUUUAUUUUAAUUAUAAUUUUAAAUUAAGUUGUCAAUAAAUGGAGCAACCGAUUACUCUUUUAAGUUAAAACGGUUGGUUUAGCUGCUGGCAGCCAAACAACGAGGGGCGCUUAAUAUUGAGCCCCUCUACCAUGCAGGCCUUAAAGUCCCGGUAUAGUAUUGGUAGCCACAAUUAAGGAGAAUAAAAGAAGCAGUAAAUAGUAAGGGUUAUUUUUACUUACCUCCCCUGAGGUUUCACGUAAUAACAAUUUAAUAAAAAGUAUGAUGGUAUUAUUACAUCCCUCCCCUGCUAUUAGUAUUUCUGUCAGUAGACCGUUUAUGAGCCGAAAAAUGACGAAAAUACCCCUUAAUGGCUUAGAGGUACAAUUUCCCAGUUGGUGUGUUCUUCAAGUUCUAUUGAAGCCCUGAUUACAAAACCGAAUCCAAUCUCCGCUCGACGAAUCCGAUCAUUUUGGAGUCACAACCCGAUGCAAGGAAUUUGUUUCCGCUCCCAAUCUUUCUUUCAUCGAAGGCGUUGCCACUAAGGAUAUCCACAUCGAUCCUUUUACGCUGCCCUCAGUCCACAUUUUUCUCCCCAAGUUUGCACUAAACCAUCCCGAGCCUGACUCCAGCCGCAAUCAAAACCUAAACCGCGCGCGAACUCGAAGAAUGCAGAGGCGGACCUACCACGCGACCUGCUUCAUCUGUGGAGGAACAGCUACGGCUUCCCGAAUGCGGCGGUGGCUGUGAGGAAAGAGGAGUAUCAGAGAACCAGCUACAGCGGCCACGGCAGUGCCGACGAGGAAGCGAUGAGUUUGAAUGGGAAAUAGGAGGGGGAAAUGGGAUGCAGAAUUAAGAAGCGUGGAAAAAGAGUACGAUGGGGACCACGAUGGGGGCCACGAUGGGGACCAUUUCCACUUGAGGCUUCAAAAUUUUCUUAGUGAAAAAUAGCUAGUAUCCACUAGCAGCACUAUAGCAAAAUUGUUUUGUUUGUGGGUUUAGUUGCUAUUGCUUUUUUCAAUAUUCAAAUAAGACGGUGUGGCGUUUCCUUCUAGAAAUCAUUGCUUCGAUCUUCCCUUUUUUUUUUUUAACCCCUCCCCCCUUUAAAUAAAGAAUUCAUUUAGCCACCACGAAUGUGCACAGGGGGUAUGUGCUGGUGGAUGUGAAUAGGAGGAAACUACCAGUAAUGUUGCAGUUCCACGGUAGCGGGUGGGUGAGUGGGGGAAUCGCAAGGCUCUGUGAUGUGAUUGUUGUGGUGGUUGGGUAAAGGUUGGCGCCGGAGAAUCAGUUCCCCGCUGCGUUUGAGGAUGGGAUGAAGGUGUUGAAUUGGUUGGGGAAGCAUUUUUUAAUUGUUUUUACCUUAAAUGCCAAAUACUAGCCGGGAUUAAUGGGGUAUUUUUGUCAUUUUCUUGGCUCAUAAACAGUCAACUGACAGGAAUACUAACGGCAGGGGAGGGAUGUAAUAAUACCACCAUACUUUCUGUUAAACUAUUAUUACAUGAAACCUCAGGGGAAGUAUGUAAAAAUAACCCUAAAUAGUAAAGACAGCACUGCAAGUUUGCAACAUCAGCAAAACCAACGUAAUAAUGACCAAGCUAAGUGAUAUCAGCAAGGGUCAAAAUUGCAUCAACAGGGAGAAAAGGUAUGGGCCACAAAAGCAGCGAUACAAGGAAGGUUCACUAGUUCAUACUUUCUAUUAUGCAAUUAUUUUAUUUAUUUAUUUAUUUUUUUACACUACUAAUUUCUCAAGAUUAUUUCCAUUGCACAAAUGUUUCAAGCGUUACAAUCAAGGACAACCGUGUGCUUAUGCUAAUUCAAAACCAUCACAUGCACUCUUUAAAAAUUUAAAAUAAAAUUAAGUAGUACUGAUAAUAUCUAGCUAUAUGUCUACCAUAUCAUAUCUUUAUGAAAGAAAAAAUGUAACAGAAAUAAGCAGAGCAAAGGAAACUGCCAGCAUAAUCAAACUCCAGAGCUUGGUUAUGUUUCACGCUAUUAUUCUUCUUAGGAUUUGCUUAGAGGUAGGACAAAUAAAUUUCUUUGCUUCUCAUAUAAUGGGAUGCAAUAAAAUUUUUAAUUAAAUUUUAACUGGAUUGUUUUUAAUAUCUGUAUUCCUUUUCACAUUAUUUAUAUAUGUUAUUUUCUACGCACUUAUCAUUAUUCAUUAGUCACCAAAUUGAGUUGAAAAUUUAGCCCUAUAUUUUGGAGUAUAUUCUUUGUGUUUUCAAAAGAUUGGGGUAUAUUUAAUUUUUUUGUUGUGAAGAUGAAUAUGUAUGGUAUAAUUACAAAUUGUCGUAAUCGAGGCUCGACUCUUCGGUUAUUGUAAAUGUUGUAUUUGAUUCCAAUGUGGCGAUGUAAUAUUGUUCUUUCUCGGACCUUCUAAUGCAAUCUACCAAUUUUUUGUUUAAAGAAGAAAUAUUAAUAUAUGCAUAUCAAAUAUAUAGUUUGCCAAAAAUACUAAAAGCUAUUUUUACCUCAUUUGAAUUCUUUCUUAAUAAUUUGCAGAAGAAAAGUUGUUUACCGACUUGAUUUAAUUAAUAAUUUUGAGGGAAAUUAGAUAAAAUUAUGUAGAGACACUAAUGGGUUGUCCUUGCUUACAAUGCUGGACACGCUAACAAGAAGAAAAGUUUACACAAGAUUAAAUCGUAAAAUUUAAGUGGGCUUCUUUUUUUACUAUUUUAUGGACAAAAGAAGAAGAAGAAAAAAUUAACGCUAAAACUCAUAUGUGCAGAAAGAAAGAGAAAUGACAAAAUGUACAAUGAAGUUUUUGAAUAUGAGUCUACCUACUGUGUGACCCAAAAGAACCGUAGCUGGAUUUCAUAAACAAAAGAGCUUUUAAAAUUACAAUAGCAUGCGCAAAAUAUUAAGCUUUUUCUUCCCAAUCCCAAUGUAUCUGUACAUAAAUUCUCAAGUUCCUUUUCAUGUCCACAAGAAUCCAAUCAAAAUUCUAUUUCACUUUCAUUGCUAAAAGCCAUAUAUUUCAAGAUAUUUUUUUAUUCAUAAUCUUAGCUAGAGGGAUGAAAUGAUCAAAUGAUCGGGACCCCCCCCCCCCCCCCCCCCCCCCCCCAACAUGCAUAUUUAUUUAGGAAGAUGGGAACAACUAGCACCUACCGAGGCUUGCACGCAACCAAACACGGGAAAAAUGUUUGGCAAUGUGCACUUUGUUUGAAUAAUAGUAUAUUGACCCCAUUUCCAAUUAUAUUACAACAUUGUUCUCUCCACUUUUUGCCAAUAAUACAGUACUAUAUGGCUUUGAUUUAUUUUUUAUUUUUUCACUGCACUCAUGCACUGAAGUUCAAAUUACUGGUGAAUAGGACCCCACAACUGAAACAUAGAAGAGAGAGUUUCAAGUCUCAAUUAAAAUAUACAAAAGAAAUUUGUACUUGAAGAGCUCAUUUCUUCAAACCAAUAUUUCUAGCUAGCAAAGGAUGAAAGGAAGGAUAUUACUUAUGAGGCAAUAUUUUCCAACAAAUGAGGCAAUAUUCUAUUACCAUUUUCACUACCAAGAAAAGAGAGGAUAGAAAAAUAGCAUUUUUUUUCAGUUUGGUGAUUUCGAAUAAAAUUCUUUGCUUUUACACUUUAUUAUUAUUUUUAAAAUUUUUUUUAAAUCAAUAAUUCUUAUUUUUGUUCUGCUGAAUGUGUUUCGUCAAUUAUAUGAUCAUAUGUUCAAAUCCCUAUAUUAUUAACAAACCCACUAAGCGUUAAUGAUUUUUUUUUUAAUGAUAGUCGAGUUGAUUUUUUUUUUUUUUUAAUAAUAAGAGUCGAAGUUCAAGGUUCUCUUUUAGGAUUGUUUACUUCUUAGAUUGGGAAAUCAGAAUUAGGAAUCGAAAUAAUUAACAAUGUUCACUUCACAAAAUAAGAGUGAGAAUCGGAAUCAUGUGGUUCCCACAAAUUUGGGAAUAAUUCCCAUAGAUUUAACUCCCAAACAGGGAUGGAUGCAGCUUGUCAAGCCCCCAGUGGCCAAAAAAAUUCUAAAAUUAAAAGAGAAAAAUAUUUAGUUUUUUCUAAUUAGCCCCUAUUAAAUUUAUUAAAAUAAUCACUAUAAAUUAUAGACCCCUAUAAAAUUUAAACUUUAACUUUUAAGAAUUAUAAAAUUUUAUAUUUUAAUUAAAAAUAAUGAUUGUCUACCACCCAAAAUAUUUUAUAUUCUCAAAAAUAUGAUUAAUUCUUCCAGUUUCUAUAAUAAUAGUAGAGCGAACGUUUUUAUUAAUGAAACUCGUGAAGAAUCAUCUUUGGAAUCGGAUGGGAUAAAUGAUAGUUUGGUUGUUUAUAUAGGAAAUAAUAAAUUUAAUAAUAUUAAUAUUGAGUCUAUUGCAUAACAUUUUUAAAAUAUGAAAAUGCAUAGAGAAUAAUUACAAAUGUAUUAGCAAAUAUUUUAUAUAUUCAAAAAUUUUUUUUCAUAUUUUACGAUUAUCUAAUUUUUAGUCCCCGGUAAAUUAUUUUUCUAAAUCCACCACUGCUCCCAAAGGGGGUUAGGAAUCAAACUCUGAUUUCUGAAGCUACCUAUUUAUCCCAAUUAAAUUUUUAUAAUUCCUAAAUUGUCUUCAAUCAAAUUCGGCUACUUUUAUAUUUUGGUCUCUACAAAAUCAAUUGAAAUACCGACAAAUUUUGUAUUAUUCGCAAAUAAAUCCUUUAUUAUUUAAUAAUAAUAAUGAAUCACUGGACGGCUCACGAUCAGUGUCACCGACUUUGAACAGCCGCAAUCCCAUUUUUGCACAUAUUUUGCAGUAAUGGCUAUGAUUUUGCUACUUGUCCAAACAUUUCGCAUCAGCUAGAUUUGGUCCUCACAUUCACUUGAUCUCAAAGUAAGCAAAUUUUGUUAAUGUCGGAACAUAAUUUGAGUUUUUUAAAGCUCAGAGAAUGAAUUUGAUGACAUUAAAUAAUGUUUCUAAAAAUAAAAAAUGCUAUCAUUAAAUUUAUUACUAUUAUUAAAUUUAUUAUUUUAAUUAUUGUUUAUUAUUACUACUAUCAUUAAUGUCAUUAAUAUUGUUAUUAUUUUUUAUUUUGAUUAUUAUUAUUUUCAUCAAUUUCAUCAUCAUCAUCAUUAUCAUGAAAAUUUAUUUAUUUUUAUUGUUUUAAUUUACUAUUAUUGUCAUUACGAUUAUUAUUUUUUAGUUUUAUUAUUAUCAUUUUUAUUCUUACUACUACUAUUAUUAUUAUUAUAAUAUAUACAAAUAAUACUUGGGACAAUAAGUAAUAGAGGGCAAUUUAGCAACUUACAACAACCCAUUCCGAUUCUAAGAUAAAAUAAAUACAUCAAUGAGAAUAUAUUUCAUUUUGAUUCUGAUUCUUGUAGUUCAAUUUAUUCUAAUUCUAAUUCGUUAUUUCGAUUUUAGUCUAUUUCGAACCCUGAUAUGAAUUUAAUUGGGCUCUAAUAUUUAGGCCCGAGCCUAACCAUUAAAUUCGAGUCAAAGGCCAGAAAAUUCAGGUCAAGUCAAUUAAACUAAAAGUUGAGACGAGUCUUCCUUGCAUAUAUAUAUGUUUGCAUCUUGAUUUUUAUUUUUAUUUAUCAUAUAAACUCUUCUAUAAAUUUAUUAUCUAUAUAUAUAUAUAAUGUUAUGUUUAUUUGUCACUAGUCGAAAUGGGGAAUGGUUUACUUGACUUACAAAAAUCCAAAUCGGAAUAGACUGGAAUUCCAUUGAUGUGUUUAUUUUAUCUUGGAAUUGGUUUCGAAAUAAGUUAGAUUGUAACAAAUUACUAAAAAGUACUUAAUAAAUUAUUAUCAUAAUUAUUAUUUUAUAUUUUAAUUACAAUGAUUAUUUAUUCAAAAAUUAUUAUUAUUAAUAAUUAUAAUAUAUAUUAAUAAAAUCAUAAACCUAUCAUUUUUCUUUAAAUUAGUUUAUAAAAAUCGACCAUGUUCCUUUACCGAAUGAGAAAUUGGGUAUAAAAUCAUAAAUUUAAAAUUUAACUAAAAAUGAUAAAUCCGAACCCGAAAACAUACAUACAUACAUAUCAAUUUUAUCUUUAACUUAUUUAAAAAAUAAUGUUAUAUAAUUAAGAUAUAAACAACAAUAAAAAAUUAUAAAAUUUAAAAUUUAUUAAAACUACAUCGUUUCCAUAUAAUAUUCAUUUCUUUUUUAGGUGAAAGCGGUAAAAAAGGCUCGUUCUCAAAUCUCAAUGGCACCAUAGAAAUCUAUGACGAGAAAGACAAAAUGAAAAAUUAAAACAGUACCUAUUCGUCAUUCUAUAAUGUCAAAUCUCUCUCAAUUCUCCAAACAUGCAAAGCCGAAAUCCGCCAAAUCCGAACCCAAAUCUGCUAGCACGUAGGUCGUCCAACCAUCGUAAUCCGAGGUGCAAUAUCGGAUUCCAAACAAUAUGCAUCUCAUUUCAGAUCAGUAAGUCAAUGAGUUCAGUUGACCUCGAAAACAAAUUGUUUUGCAGCUACAUGACCUCGAUGAGUUCGAUUAACGAAAAUGUUGUAAGUGCAGUUUUUGAUGGGUCAAAUCAAUUUGGUAAUUUUACAAAUUUGUUCUUUUGCAAAUUUUACAAUAGCCUUUUCAAUUUUGCUUGUUUUAGAGGAAUCUCAUUUUGUUAAUUUGAUUUUUGGUGGCACCUAUCCGUGUUGUUGACAUGCCCACUUGCAAAUUAGUUCGUUGAUCAGUCAGUUAGAUGGUGAUUCUAUUGAAGAUUGCUUUUUGGCAUUUGUUGCCCAAAACACAAGAAAAAUUUAACCAAAAACAGCAGCAGAUCAUCCCAAAUACAGUAGAAAAUUUGCCCAGAAACAAAAUCAUAUCAAACCCAAAAAUUUUCUGCAACUUCACAUAAUUCUCUGUCACUUCAAUUAUAUUUGAGACAAAAAUCCACUUUCAGUUUCAGAAUUGUGAUCCCUUACACUUAAUUUAUCUGCUUGUGUCUGAUGUAUAUUUUCAUUUGUUUAUUAUCCCCAUCCAUACAUCCAUCCGUGAUCCACCACACAUUUGUUUAUCAACCAAAAUCAAUGCACACAAUAAUACAAACUCAAGAUCACAACAGUUAGCAUAACUCAUAUAGCACUGUAUAUCGUUCACCCACACUCGGAGCUUUUCCUAAACUAUGUAAUCACUCAUUUCAUUGUUUAAGACAACAUAAGUCACCUCACGUAGCACCGCAAUCAAAUACACUUCAAUUAGAAAUGAAAGCCAUGGAACCUAAAAGUAUGCAGCAAAAAUAUACAUGCCGAAAUCAAGAUUAUGAAAACUAAUUCCAAUUUUUCUUACUUGAUUGUCUAGUUCUUGCUGAUAGGCAACUUUAUUUCCCCCAAUUCUAUUUCUUAGGCCAAGGUGCUCAACCUGCAUUAAAUACAAAUCUACACAGAAUUAUGAAAAUAUCAAGUCAUAAAAUAUUUAAAUAGAUUAUAUCCACAGGAGCAGCAGAAAGGCUUCCUUGAAACAUAACUCUGAUUAAUACUACAAAGAAAGGAUAGUGUUUCGAUUGCAUUCAUUUUCAUACCUCAUAUUUGAAUAAUAGAACAUAUACAAACUUGUUAUUUCUGUCAGGCAUUUCAACAAAUUAUUUGAACACUCUACUUGGAAAAAUUCCAGCAACGCAUCGGCGUUAACUAACAAUGUGUAGGAUCCAAUCACAAAUUUAACACAUCGGCAAAUCACUCAAAAAUAAAUAGAUAAAAAUAGAACCACUAACAAAGAAAUUUUUCUAAGUGGAUUUGUAAAAAAGGAAACUACGGCUAUUGGGCAUAAGUGUCAGCAAAUCAGAUAGAAUAAACUAGAGAAAUUAUAAGAUACGAACCAAAUGAACAUUACAUAAUUCGAAAAUAUGUGUUUUCAGAACAGGACAUAUAACUUGUAUUCAAGUAACCAUAUUACAAGCAAAAUAAAUCAAUUAAUCUAAUUUAUCCAUAUUACUUGUAAUAAAAAGAAAAAAUCAUAUCAAAGUCUAGUGCAUGCUCCAUAUAUAUAUAUUUACUGUGUCUUGGUCAAAUAAAUUGUAAACAAAAGAAAAAAAAAACACAUGUUGAAGUUAACGACAAUGUGAAUGUGGUAGAUGAGAAUCAGUGGCCUGCAACUUGCCUUAUAAUUAGUGAUUUGCCGUGGUUCUCUUCCCCUCAAUAGGAUUAAGGGCGGCAGCAAUGACUUAUGAUCAGAGGAUUAUAUGGUUAUCAAUCGCCGACGCUGAUUAGGUAUCAAUUGCCCACGCCGGGUAGUUAUCAUCGACCCAAAACCGCUUCACGAACAAGAACUUAGCCCGGCUCUCUUCAAGGACGUCGUUGUAGGGCUUCUUCUUUUUCGCGUCAAGCAACUUCCAAAGCAAUGAUUGGCAGGAAAAGAGUAUUAGAGGAAAACAAAAUCGCGUUAGCCAGCAAACCCAAACACUUUGCACAGGAACUUCUUAAUUCCGUGAACAAAUGCAGAAAUUAUGACCAUGAAAGAAAACUAUGCAAACCCAAACACUUUGCACAGGAACUUCUUAAUUCCGUGAACAAAUGCGGAAAUUAUGACCAUGAAAGAAAACUAUGCAAACCCGAACACUUUGCAGCGAGUUCUUAACAAAUUCUAUAAUGCUUAGGAAUUUGAAAUUUUGACAUUUGUGGUUUUUUAUCCAGUCACUUUUUCAACCAUUCAUUCACUAUUGAACACAGGCCCUAUUUCUUUGUUCAAUAUAUCUUAAUGCAGAUCCCAGGUUGCAAACGUGUUAUGUUAGGUACUUUACCAGAAUGGGGCGUAAAUGACUCAUCCUAUGAGAAAUUAAUUAAGUAUUUAAGUUGCAAUCAAAUAGGUUAUCUCCAAACAACAUACUGGAGAAGCUCAUGAGCUACUAUUACUUUAUCAAUUCUCAUAAUGCUCUACUCCUUAAUUUGCACUACUCCAAGUAGUGCAUUAUUUUAAAAAUAACCAAUUAUCCAUCUUUAUCUUUCUUGUAUACAGUUCCCAAAAUUGCUUAGAAAGAUAUAUAUAUUUUGGUUUAUUUUAAUUCGAUCUCUACCAUAUCCAAAAGUAAUUUGAAGUAUCCUGGUACAACUGAUUUAUGGGAGAUCAAAGAUAUUCGACCAAAAUAGAUAGAUCUAUAAAUGUAAUCACUAUGGGCUUCAUUUCUAGCCUUUACAUUCAUUUUACCACAAUGUCAAAAUGCAAUGAGCAUUUGGCUUUUGUUCCUUUGCCUUGUGGUUUUCCAAGUUGUUUUUCUAUAUUAAACGAAUUUCACACAUACACUUUAUCAUUACGAUGAGUGAGCCCAAUGUGCUCUCUCUAGCCAACUUAGCUAUAUGUCUCUAAAUCUAAUAUGCCAAAUUUUGGCAUGUACAUCAUCAUUGCAAGAUGAUGCAUAGUGAACAACUUUCCAUAAAAUCUCUUUUCAAAUUUGGUUAUACAAACACCUAAAAAUUAAGUAUCCUAAUCUAAGAAUGUCAACAAUAUAGACCAAGGUUUUUGAUGAAUUUUCGAUGUACAAUUCUUGAAAAAUAAGGACCAUGCAAUACCAACUUGCAUAUGCUUAUACCCUUGAUUUCUAGAACAAGGAUAUCCUCAUAUGUAUCCAUCUUUUCCUUUUGACAAUUACAACGGAAAAACAUCAAAACCUUUUUGUGAUCUCUAAUCAUAAGGUAUGGCUACUUAGUAUAUUUCUCCAAAACGCUUACGCACAAUGUCGUUUCAACUUAAUGAGUGUCGUGCUUAUCACGUGAGUUUAUCAAGCCUUUUAUCAACUGAGAAGUGGGUGUUUGUAUUCACCUUAUAACCAACAAAUUAAGUACUAGAAAUAUUUUUUAAAAAUGAGUGUGAAAAAUAUUUUGAUCAUUUGUUGGAUUCAAAUAUCUUCACUUUUUGGAAAAUUAUUGAAUUGUCUUGUCCUAAAUAUGUAUGCACAAAGAGCCUCUUUCCUAAGUUCAUGUGUACUUUUGCUUAACAAUAAGAAUAAGCGAAGAGAGAAAGAUGGGCCAGUUUAUCAUCUUCGUUAUCUACCUCCAAUUUCUUUUUUCACUAACGUAUGCAUCGGUUAUUUGGAAACCUUCAUCUGUGCACUUUCCCGACAUUCCUGCUACUUACGGUAAAAUUUCGGUUUUAGCUCCUCCAUAAUUUGUUUGUUUCUUUGGAUAAAUGCAAUAUAUAUUGUUGUAGAUUUUUUUUUUGUUCUUUACUUUUCUUUUAGAUAUUAAUAAAAAGGGCAUAUGUAGAGCUCUCCAUGUAGCGGAUCCUGCAAACGGUUGUUCCAUAUAGCAACCCUGUUGUUGCUUUUAAUGGAACAAUCGACUUUGUUUUAAUAGUUCGUGGUGUGCAAUUACGACACUACAAUCCAGAAUGAUCAACCCGCAAGUUAUCAAGAUGGCAAUUGUGUACGAUGAUGAAAUAAACGGCCAAAUGAAUUCACGUAUAUAAUAAAAAAAUCCUUUAAAAUUAUUUAAAAAUUUUAGAUUAUUAAUUUGUGUAAAUCUUAAUUUUUUUUUUGUAUAAUUAGUGUAUAUAAAUCUAGAUGGCAUAAACAUACAAGCCGCGUAUGUUUUGUUCAGUGCCGGUCAAUAUCUAAAGAGCAUGCGCGGGGGGAAGCUGGUGAAUGUUGUUUAUUUCCUCUAUCGAAAUCUUCUAUACAUUAGUAUUGGCUACUAGUGGUGGUGCUGCCACCAAUAGUGUGGGUAGCAUCAUUCACUAUUUGUGCAUGUAUGGAAGGUCAUAUUCUUGGAACCAAUUCACCCAGUCCUGCGAUGAUGUCUAGUGAACGCAUGGCCCAGCUUUGUGUUCACUUCUGAAACUUCGAACCAAUAUGUUGGAGACUCAAUGUGUACCAUUUGCUCUUGAAGAUUAUCUCAAAGUACUUCCCUGCACACACGGUAAAUUUUACCUCGUCAUGCUCUCGAGUCUUUUAGAUUUUACCGUGUGUGUAAGGAAGUACUUUGAGAUUUUUCCCCCUUUUGAUAAUCUUCAAGAGCAAAUGGCACAUAUCGAGCCUCCAAUAUAUUGGUUCGGAGAUUCAUAAGUGAACACAAAGAUGGAUCAUGCGUUCACUAGACUUCUUCUUUGUUGCUGUUGACUCUGCUCUUGCAUCAUCGCAGAACUGGGUGAAUUGGUUGGUUGUAAGGUGAUGGAGGAAAUAAACAAUAUUCUCCAACUUCCCCCCGCGCAAGCUCUUUUAUAUAUUGACCGGCACCGAAUAAAACAUACGCAGCUUGUAUGUUUACGCUCUCUAAAUUUAUGUACGCUAAUUAUACAUAAAAAAAAUUAAGAUUUACAUAAAGAAAUUAAUAAUCUAAAAUUUUUAAAUAAUUUUAAAGGAUUUUUUUAUUAUAUACGUGAAUUCAUUUGGCCGUUUACUCCAUCAUCGUACACAAUUGCAGCUUGAUAACUUGUGGGUUGAGCAUUCCGAAUUUUAAUGUCGUAAUCACACACGCCACGAAUUAUUAAAACAAAGUCGAUUGUUCCAUUAGAAGCAGCAACCCUGGUUGCUAUAUGGAACAAUCGUUUGCAGGAUCCGCUACAUGGAGAGCUCUACAUAUGCUAUUUUUAUUAACAUCUAAAGGAAAAGAAAAGUAAAGAACAAAAAAAAAUUUCUACAAUAUAUAAUUACAUUUUUCUAAAGAAACAAAUAAAUUAUGGAGGAGCUAAAACCAAAAUUUUACCGCGAGUAGCAGGAAUGUUGGGAAAGUGCACAAAUGAAGGUUUCUAAAUAACUGAUGCAUACGUUAGUGAAAAAAGAAAGUAGAGGUAGAUAACGAAGAUAACAAAGUGGCCUAUCUUUCUCUCUUCGCUUAUUCUUAUUGUUGAGCAAAAGUACACAUGAACUUAGGAAACAGGCUCUCCGUGCAUACAUAUUUAAGACAAGACAAUUCAAUAAUUUCCUAAAAAGUGAAGAUAUUUGAAUCCAACAAAUGAUCAAAAUUAUUUUCACUCAUUUUAAAAAAAUAUUUCUAGUACUUAAUUUGUUAGUUGUAAGAUGACAAACACCUGCUCUAAACGGCAGCGUUUUUCUCAAUUCAUCAAAGGCUUAAUACUCACGGCAUUUGUAUCAGCGUUUUGGAGUAUCUUGGCUUUAAUAGAUCACGCGAGCAAUCACGUGAGCAUCAAUGAAGCCAAGUUCGUUAUAACAGAAUCCUUGUAUACGUGGCAUUAAGUUGUGCAUUUUGGGUUGUUAAAGUCGUUGAGAAACUGGUUUAUAAGCUGCUGGCUUUCAUAGAAGCAACAACAAUGUAAGAGAGAUUUGAGGGAAAUUGUAGAGAGAAAGUGAAUACUUGUUCUUUGUUCUCGAACUCUUUGUAACAAGCUUCUUGAAUCUUUCAAUAAAGCCUGCUGAUGAAUACACCCGUGGAUGUAAGCCAUUAAUGGCUGAACCACGUUAAGAGCUCUGUGUUCUAUUGUUUGUUCUCAGUUUUCUAAUUUGGCUAAUAAUCCUUUGCAUUGAGUAAAGUCAGGUUUAGUUGAUUCUCUAAAAUCAGUCUAAUCUGUCGAAUGCAACUUGGUUGAUCUGGGUAAAGGGUCCUGGGAGGAUCUGGUUCUGUUGUGUUAAUUGAACAAAUCACAUUCUACAUAAUUUAAAUACCCGUAUCUUAUUUGAAGGGGAGAAAGUUAACCCGAGUAUUUCAACUACAAAAGCCCAAGCAGUAACGGAAGCCUUUCAAAAGGUAAAGCAUGUGGAGAAAACUCAAGCUGAAAAGCCAAAAGACAAGAGGAAACAGCAGUGGACUCCCCCUCCCCCCACAAAAAUAGAAGCUUUAAAGUCAAUGUGGAUGCUGCUAUAGAUGCUGAAGCUAAGACAGCUGGUUUAGGAGUUGUUAUUAGAGAUGAUGAAUGAAGAGUUGUGGCAUCUGCAACUAAGCCCUCAAGGCUAAGAUGUGGUGUGUCGUUUGCAGAAGCAGAGGCUACAGAAUGGGGGCUUCAAGCGGCCAAAGAGGCAAAUUUGGCAUCAGUUAUUAUUGAGACAAAUUCUGAGGAGGUAGCUAACCUUGUUAACAAUAAAAAAGGAAGCAAAACUGAAAUAUUUUGAGUGACAACAACAACUAUAGACAUGAGUUUUGAAUACCAGAAUGUUAUUUUCUAGCAUGUCCAUAGAUCUAGCAAUGAAACAGCUCAUAGGCUUGCUAAAUAUUCCAUUAGAAGUGGAGUCUCGAAUGUCUAGGUGGAUUCUUUUCCAGCUGACAUUACUUGUAUUCUCAAUUCUGUUAAUUAAUGGUUAUCUUUUCUUCAAACAAAUAAAAAAAAUACCAAUAUCUUAAAUUACUACCACAUGACGGACUUGAAAAAAAAAAAAAGGGGCAUCUCAACGAAAAGAGAAGGACGGACAUGCAACGAUAGAGACUACUAAUCCUCUUCUUGCUCUUAGCUGUCUGUUAAGAAAACCCUAAAUUGAUUGAGAACAAAAUGAAAAUUAUUUGUGCAUUCUUCAUUUUUUGAAUGGGAACAGAGAUGACACUUAGAAUCAAUUAAUCAAUUAAUCAAACCCUAAAUUGAUUAAAAGAACAAUUAAUUCAAGCAUAACCGUAAAAUUAUCUAAAUUGAAAAGAGAGGUAAAAAGAUAAUCAAAAUUUUAGAAAACCUCAUAUUAUGCAAUUAAACCAUUUCAUAUCUUCUGACAUGCACAAAAAAUCAGAAAACAAAUCCUUAAAGGAGAUCGAUGCUACGUUUAAAAUAACAUACUCAAUCUGGAAAUUAACUAUAUAAAUUUUCAAUCUUCAGGAGGAAAGUAAACUACUAUUAAUUUUCAAUUUUCAGAAUAUGGGGGCAUGAAAAAACUCAAUAGUACAGAAUACUACUUCAGCCUAAGAAAUUAAAACUUGCAUGAAAGCAUUUAGUCUACUACUCUACUCGGACCUUGUUCUGAACUGCAUGCGUAAUCACUGGUUUCAUUGUCCAAGGUUCUGAAUUUACAAAAACCCGAUGAAAAGACAUCAAAAGUCAGCCCCAAUAGCGUGAAAAUCAAAUAUACUUCAAUUAGAAACCUAAAAGCAUGCAGCAAAAAUGUUCAUGCAAAAAUUACAACUAUGGAAAGACAGGAAAACUAAUUCCAAUUCUUCUUACUUGAUCCUCCAGUUCUUGCAGAUAGGCAGCCUUUUUUUUUUUAAUUCUAUUUCUCAGUCGAGGACGCCCAGUCUACUUAAAUACAAACCUACACAGAAUUAUGGAAAUAUCAGGUCAUAAAAUAAUUCGUAAGAUUAUAUCCACAGAAGCAGUAACAAGGCUUCAUUGAAACAGAACUCCAACAGAGAUUACAGAGCAAGAUAGUGUUUGGAUUAAAUUCAUUUUCAUACCUCAUAUUUGACUAAUAGAACUAAUAAAAGCAUUUCAACAAAUAACUAAGACACUAUGGGGUUUGAUAAGAUGUAGCUCCACUCUUUUGAGAUUUACUACAUCUGUAUAGGUUUAGCAUUAUGAUUUUGUAUCAUAUGAACAUGAAGUUGCAAAACAUUUUAAAUUUUGUUGAUAUUCCAUUGGUAAAACCUUCAUUCAGCUAGAAGAUCCAAAUUCAUCAGUACCCAAAAACAAAAGAACACAAAUAAAAACCAAAUGAAGCAUAAGCAGAGUAAAGAAGAAGAAAAGAAUAUCAAUUUCCAGCACAUGUAAUUAAAAAAUGUAAGCAUCCUCAGAAUAUGGCACGCAUCUCCAAGAAAUACUGUAUAUCUAAAAAUGUUCUAUGAAUUUUGCAAGUUUCAUGUCAUCCAAAAAUAAUGAAAGUAUUUAAAUAGGUCUUAAAAUAAAAGCACGAAUACAGAAUUUCCAAGCAUGAGUUGAUCUUUGUAUUAAAUAGACAAGAAACUAUCUCUCACAAAUUUAUAACACAUACACCAGAAACGAAUAUUUGGCAAUCCAUCACAAUAACAACAGCUGAAUAUAGAGUGUGGCUUUUGCAUACAUACUGAAAUUACGUCACUUAAGCAGGCCAGAAUGUGGCUUAUUGGGCAAAAGCAGCAACUGAGACACUGAAACUGAAACUGACAGCAAGCCGGGAAGACCAAUAGUCCAAGAAACGAGAUGGUACAUGACGCCAGCUAGAAUAUGUAUAACACAAACAAAGCUGCAAAAAAAUGAAAACUUCUCUUUAUUAUGAUGGUUAUAGAUUUUUCUAAUAAGGAAAGUUUAGGAUGAAAUAGGUGGCGAGUAUAACAAAAGCAUCUACUUGUUAAGUAUGUUGAAGAUGACAUUUAAGAAGUACCUACGUGGAAAACAAAAUAAAAAUGGCUUAGAUUGAAUUGAUGUAGGACCAUUAAAAGAUGCUCACACACUGCUUUAUGCAUACACAAUUUAUACAUAAGGCAUCAAGUGAAAGCCAGAAAAAGUUCAAGCACAUGUUGCACAUUUAAUUAUCUACGAAGUAAUUAGGAAAACAGAGUCCUAAUGGCAAAAUUCAAUUAAGCAAUCCCAAAUUCCACCAUGAUUAUUAUAAUUUAAUUGUUUACCACUCAAAGAAAAAGAAGCAAAAUGACUAGAGCUUGAGAUUAUCCCUGAAGCUCUUUAAAGGCGCCUUUGAUAAAUCAAGAGCCAAAUCAAUUAUAAUGAUAAAUCAAGUGAAGCAGGGGGUGAGCAGGGCUGGUAUCUUGACAGUGGGGCCACUCACCAUGUCACCAAUGACCUCAACAACUUGAGCAUCAGGUCUGGGUACAAUGGUAAAACCAAAACUUAUCGUUGGAAAUGGAAAUGAGUUAAAUAUUUCCCAUAUUGGGACUGCUAUCUUGCACACGCUUAAUGACACACACCACAGUCUACAAUGUGUUGUAUGUUCCUGAAAUGUCGAAAAACCUAGUUAGCAUUUCAGACCUAGCCACUCAAAAUAACCUUGUCAUAAUCUUUACUAAUGGAAGUUGUAUUGUGAAGGACAAGUUGGGUAAGGUUUGGCUCAGUGGAAUUGACAAAGCUGGCCUCUUUGAGGUGAAAGGAGUCAAUAAAGUUGAUACACAGAGAGACAGACAUGAAGCUGCAUCCUCCUAUAGUACUGUAGUAUCUCUGUUGGCCUCAUUGAGAGAAUCUGUUGAUCUAGGUUCACGGCAGUCUGUUAAGAUAGAGUCAAGUCCUUUAAACUCUCAGUUAAGUUAGAGUCAGUUCCAAAUAAUGUUAAUCAAUUAGACAUUCUACAUAGAAGAAUGGGGCAUCCCAAUGAACAAACGCUGUUGAAGUUUUCUCUAAUUAUAAUGAAUUCAGAGGAAUCCAUAAAAUAAAGUCUUUACCCUUUUGCUGAGGUUGUACAAAUGGAAAAGGCCAUAAACAGCAUUACUCAACCGCUCUUACAAAACCAGCAAAUCUCUUGAACUUAUACACACUGACCUAUGGGGACCAGCCCUUCAAAUCUUCAAUAAUGGCAGCAAGUACUACAUGAAUAUUGUAGAUGACUUUACAAGAUAUACCUGAAUAUUUCCCUUAUCAGACAAAGCACAAACCACCAAUACCGUCAUCAUGUUUAGAAAUUAUAUUGAAAAUUACACUGACAACAGGAUUAAGUGCCUGCAAAGUGAUUGGGGUGGCGAGUUUAGACCUCUCAAAGUAAACAUCUUUAGGAAGAUGGUCAUAGUUCUUCUUAAACAUCGAGACAUGUGACAACGUGAUAAAUCAACAAUUAGGAAUGUUAUGUACUCAUGUUAAGAUGCAGCCAUCCAAGAGUGUCUAGAAAAGUUCCAGAUGAUAAUCAUAUUAGAAAAAACUUGUGAAGCCUUUAAUAAACAAGCCUACAAUGACUGAUAUUACAUUGAUUUAUCUGUUUACCUAGCCAGAAGCAUGGGAAGCAACCAAAAGAGAGAUCCUACCUCAAUGAAAGGCUCCCUGAUAUCAUCUCACUCAAUACUACUCUCCUGAAACAAAUUAUAUUGCAUGAUUAUCGUUCAUGUCAACGUGACAAUGCAAAGGGACCAUCAAAAUAAAGAGUGUGAAAUUCUUUUUGCACCAAAAUAUACUAAUGGGAUUUUAUUCGUGUAAUAAGUACUGAUCCACUCAUAUAAUUAAGGAAGACUACCAUAUCAAUAUUGCUAGGUACAUCUUACAGCAGCUAUCUCAGGUAAUAAACAAACAAAACUGAAUGACCUUGCAACAAAAUUUAAACCCCUCACCCCCAACCCAAUGCCAUAAACUCUUCACAUUUACAUCACAGUUUUAAAACUCUGUGUAUGCACAUAAGAAACUGAAAACAAAGUGUGCUGCAUCUUAGUUGAAACAAUUAGAAAUUGGAUAAAACUUUGCAUAAUUAAAAAUAAAAAUAAAUAAUCUCUAUCAACAUUGACCAUUUAAAUCAAGUAUCAGUAUACACUGACCUUUUGACUUAUUGUUCCUCUAGUUCUCUUGUUCUGUAUAUAACCUUUACCCCCUGCAAACAUAUAAGUUAUAGUUCAUGGCUAUGGAUAUUUGAAAAACAAAAGUGAAACGUCCUAAUUAUUACAAGCAAUUGAGGAAGCAGAUCUCACCGAAAUUGACUCAAAGACUUUGGAUACAGCAGGAGAGGUAGCCUUCCCCUCCACAAAAAGGAAAAAAUUAGAAAUACCAAUAACCUUGUGAUCCUGCAUAUGGUCUAUUCAAGGCCAGCAAAAGUGCUUGUUGUAAUACAUAUCUAGACAAGGUCAAACCAAUAGGAAGAGUACAUGAAUUGGUGCCAAUACCUGAAAUUUAGCAAAUUUAAAAUGAUCCAAAAGAAACAGAUUCUAAAUUUCUCUAUUGAGUGGGAAAAAAAACAGAGUAACGUCAUUGAUCACAGCCUGAUUUAAAAACUCCUCAGCCUGCAGUAUAAUUUCUAUUGAGUUCCAUUACAUUAAGGGACAUCAAUUACUACAUACUCCAGAUUUAUGAAUCAUAACUCAUUCUACAAGUAAAUUUAAGAAUUUCCUUAGAAAAUUAUGUUUCAUGUAUGAGGUAUAUCAUUAAAAUAUGGUGUACAUCAGCACACUUCCAUUCCACAUCUGCAUUUAGUGCUUAAGCACAUACCAACGUUUAAAACUCCAUAGAUGAGAAUAAUUGACUAAACUUUAAAAAGAGCAAAAAUAAAAUAAAAUAGUGAAAGUAAAAUGGAAUAUUCAUUUGCAAAUACUUAGUAAAAAAGAAAUUAUGGAGUAAAUAAAGCUAAUAGAAGAAACUUAACUUAAUCACAGAAGUGAAACAUAAUCAAAUUUCUUCAACCAAAACAAAAAAAGAAAGAAAACGCAACUUUGAAUAUUCAAGAAGCAAGAUCCAAAAUUGAAACAGACCCACUAAUUACAAUCGUCCAAAAAUUUAGGAAAAUAACUUAUGCCAGACAAAGAAAAACAAAAAGGAAAAAAAACAAAAACAAAAUAAUGUGUCUACUAUAUAAUAAAUACAAAAACAAAAAAGAAACCCAUCAAAGAUUUAAUCUUCAAAAACCCAUAAAGGGUAUGAAUCAAACCAAACGAAAAUGACAAGAAAAAGCUCACUUGGCUUUUAGAUCGGCUCCGUAAUUAAACUUCCAGUCUUUGAAAUAAGAGAAGGAAGGGGUGUUACUCCGGCCAAGAAUAUCAGUGCAACCACCGGAGGAGGAGGAGGAACGAACAGUGGUGGUGGCAGGGAGGAGGGAGGAGUCAAUGUCCAUUCCGAACUAAAAGCCAAGGAGACUGAGUGAAACAAAGUGAAGGAGAUAGAUGGUAUUAGAGGCCAAAGUGAAACUAAGCAAGAAGAAAUCAAGUAUGAUGGCAACGGCAGUUGUCAAAGAUAGAAGGACGGCAAGAUUAAGGGUUUCAGAAAGAGGGUUUGUGAAUGGCGAGAAGGAGGAAGAGAAGUAGCAUUUAGGGAUUUUGAUUUCUAAGUAGCGUUAUAACGUUUAACACUAAGAAAAAAGAAAGAAAGCUUUAAGUUGCUAAAACAGUAGCGUUUUGAUGGCAUUUUUUUUUUUUUUGGAUGAAUUGGGGCUCUAAGAAGAGCUAGAGAACAAUAGAACGGGAGUGAGAAACCCCGUAAGAGUCAUGCAAUAACAAAGCCCUAACGUUCAAAUGGGGGAAAGGGUAUACAGUAAGGCCUAGCGGAAUAGAAAAAGUGAGGUUCGCCAUAUAAUCUGCAACAAAAUUUGCUUCUCUGUAGAUGUGAGAGAUGGAAACAUGCUAAUCCAAUUUGAGAUAAUCUUUUAUAGCCUGGACCAAGGGAGCAUAUUCAUUGGUCAACACCGAAGGUCUAGCCACCAAUUGAGUAACGCAAAGGCUAUCCGUUUCAAUUUUCAAUCUGCGUAUACCAGAAUUCCAUGCAAGCUGGAUCCCUUGAUAUAAGCCCCAGAGCUCCGCGACAGUAACAGAGCAAGAACCAAUCAUCAUCCCAAAGCCUGUUAGCCAACGUCCUAAGUGAUCUCGAAUCAAACCACCUGCAGUAGAAUUCCCGUGAGACUUGUGAGCACCAUCCGUAUUCAGAGUACACCAGGGCCACUCAAGAGGAUGCCAAGAAAUCCACAUGUGAGUCCUAAUAUUCCUAGUGAGCAACGGGUGGUUAUGAAGCUUGUGAAUCUCCUCAACUCUUGUAUGGACAUCCACCAACAAAGCCAAAGGGUCCAACAUCAAUUUGUUAAAGAGAAACUGAUUACGCCAAUACCAGAUCCUCCAUAUCGCAACGCCAAAAAAAACAGCCCAGUUCGAAACAUUCCCUACCUUACUAUUAACAGCCAGAUUCGAGCAGAGCCAAAGAUGAAGCCAAGAAUUAAAGAAAUUGUGAUGUUUGCUUGUCGGAAUAAUGUUGAGCCAAAACUGCUUAACCAACCAACAAUCACGAAGAGCAUGCGCAAUAUCUUCACACACAGCCCCACAACGAUCACAACAAGGCGAGAUGGGUAAGUGCCGCCGAGCCAACUCAGCCUUAGUUUUCAAACCAGCGUGAAUCGCCUGCCACAAGAAGAUUCUCACGCGUUGAGGGCCUUUCCACUUCCAUACUAACUGCCAAUCUCUAUCUUCAGACUUUGGAUCAUACUUAGAGAGAGCCAAAUACGCUGAGCUUGUAGAAAAAGCUCCGUGUUUUGAAUGAGCCCAAAAGAUAAUGUCCAUGCCUUUCACGUGGGAAGGGGGGUGAAGAGCAACUAUUUGUAGAAUAAUAUGGUUGGGAAGAUAUCGAUCAAACCGAGGCCAACACCAAGCCCCAUUUACAUCAACAAGAUUUGCCACCUUACAAUCCAAAAUGCCCACAUGUAUAGUAUUUGUUGCGUAGGCGAUUAAGGGGACCGUAUCAGUGACCCAAAGAUCCCACAAAAAAUGAGUAGAUUGACCAUCACCCAAACUCCAGCGCCUGCUUGCGAGAGCCUCACUCCAAACCUGCCCAAGAGACUUCCACAAGUGAGAACCAUAGCGUGUUGGAAGGACGGGAGGCAAGUUAUAAGGAUCCACUUUGUACAUCGAAAUAAGGAUCUGGACCCAUAAAUUAUUCGGAGAGGAGAUUAUGCCCCAAGCUCGCUUCAUGUGUAAUGCCCUAUUCAUCAUUGCCAAAGACUUGAAGCCAAGACUGCCAGAAGCUUUAAGCUUGCACACAUUCUUCCAACUAACCAUGUUGAGCUUCUACUGAGGAGACGAACCGCUCCAAAUAAACCUCCUGCAAGCUCUAUCGAUUUUCUUACAAACCCCACGAGGAAGGGAAACAAUCUGCAUAACAUAGAUGGGAAUUGCCUAGAGAACUGACUGAGCUAGAGUGAUGCGGCCAGCCAAGGACAAGUGAGAGGCAUUCCAACCCGACAGCCACUUCUCCACCUUAUCGAUGAUCCCCUGAUACAUAUUGGUAGAAACCCUUGAAUGAUGAAGAGGGACCCCAAGGUAUUUGCCGAGGUCAGAAGUAACUGAGAAGCCAAGAAGACCCGAAAUUACAGAGACAUCUCUGGCACCUAUGUUCUUUGAAAAAUAAAGCAGAGUUUUACUUGUAUUAACUUUGGCAUUAGAACAAGCACAAAAUUCUGCUAACACUGUUGAAAUAACUCUAGCUUGCUCAAUUGUAGCCUCUGCAAGCAAAAGAAGAUCAUCAGCAAAAAAAAGGUGAGAUAAACGUGUUCCAUGGCGAGAUAACCCGAUCGGACGCCACUUUCCGGCACUAAUAGCAUUGUGAAUCCCAUGACUGAGCCGUUCGAUGCAAAGGACAAAGAAGUAAGGGGAUAAUGGACAGCCUUGACGAAUUCCUUGGGAAGGAGAAAAUUCAUCCGUAGCCUCCCCAUUCCACAAAACCCUCAUAGUAACCGAAGUGAUGCAUGCCAUAAUUACUUGAAUAAGAUCGGAAGGAAUGCGAGCUUCACGCAGAGUAUCACUGAUAAAUUCCCAACUGAGACGAUCAUAAGCCUUUUCUAAAUCAACUUUAAUAGCCAUAAAACCAAUAGAGCCCGUCUUCUUGCGGAUAGAGUGAACAACCUCUUGAGCAAUCACGAUGUUCUCUGUGAUAUGACGACCAGAGACGAAGCUAGUUUGAUGGGGCCAAUCAGAGAGGGUAAAAUAGAUUGAAGGCGAUUAGCCAGCAGCUUGGUGAUAGUCUUAUAGGCAACAUUGCAAAGGGAGAUAGGACGGUACAUUGUCAACGAGGAGGGGCUUUCUGUCUUAGGAAUGAGAGCAAUCAGCGUGGAAUUGAGCCCCAAAAGAAGAUAUUUGUCAUGGAAAACAUCUUUCACCAAACGACAUAAAGGAGAGCCCAUAGUGAUCCACUGCGUCUGAUAAAAAAUGGCAUGGAGGCCAUCAGGACCCGGGGCUUUCAGAGGGUGCAUGCCGAAGAUGGUUUGUUGAAUUUCAGCAUCCUCCACGCACUUAUUUAAGGUAUGGAGCAAGUCAUCCUCGAUAAGAGGAAAACAAUUUGGAUGGGGGUAAUGCUGAAGGUCAGGAGAAUCACAAGAGAAUAACGUUGAGUAGAACUGAAUGACAUGAGCUUUAAUUUCCUCUUUCUCAUAAAGCCAAAGCCCUGCAUUGUUUUGGAUGGCCGUUAUAUUAUUUUGUCUCCUUCUAGAAAGAGUUUUGUGAUGAUAGUAAGAUGUAUUACGAUCACCGAGAAGCAGCCAGUCUCUCCGAGAUUUCUGAAACCAAAUAAUUUCCUCUUGGGUGAGCACCUCUUCCAGAUCCGCUUUUAAUUGUUUCUCAAGAUUUAAUAACCCUUUAGAGUAAUAACUUUCUAAAGCCCGUUGAAUCCCUCCCAGACGAGCUAAUAAAUGUUUUUUCCGCCAAAAAAUAUUCCCGAAACACCGCUUAUUCCAUUCAGUAACCUUAAGACGAAAUUUAUUAGCAGCAUCUAAGUAAUGAAGAUUUUGAUCCCAGGAUUCAGACACGGAAUCUUUGAAACCUUCAUUGGUAAGCCAAGCCGCUUGAAACCGAAAAGGACGAGAGUUCAAAACUCUCGAAGACAAAUCAGUACUUCGCACCAGGAUAGGCCUAUGAUCAGAGUUCAAUUUCGGCAGAUGGAGCACAGAAGAAUUGGAAAAGGUACGAGCCCACUCACUGUUGCAAAUAACGCGAUCAAGGCGUUUCAAUAGGCUUCCACGAGACCAAGUAAAACGUUGAUGGCAUUUUUUUUAAUUAUUAAAACACAUCUUUUAUUUUUUAAAUAAAAUAAUACAUUAAAUUUGGGUCAAAUGUGGUCAAAAUCAUUUUUCUAUCAUACUUUUUUGAUAGAAUAAAUUUCUAUCACAAUUCUAUCAUAAUUUCAUGAUAAAAAAUAAUCUUAUCAUAAAACCAUCAUAAAUUCAUGAUAGUAAAUAUUUCUAUCAGAAGCCUGUCAUAAAUCUAUGAUAGAUUGAAAAUUCUAUCAUAAAUCUGUCGUAAUUUUAUGAUAUACCUAUAAUCUGUCAUAAAUUAUCCGUCAUUUAUUGCAUGUUUUCUUAUAGUGGUUUGACCCAGGAGAUAUAUCAGGAGUAUCAAAUGUGCAUAUAUAUUAAUUGAAAACAAUCAUUUAUGUUAAAAACCAAUUACAUAGAUGGUAAUAAUUUACUAAAAAAAAGUGAAAUAUAGCUCAACCAAUUACAUAGAUGAUGAUAAUUUAUUAAAAAUUUGUAGUAUUGCUCGACAAAUGACUAAAUUUUAGAGUACAUCAAAGGUAUUAUACUCAAUUAAUACAUGUAUCCAUAUGUGCAAUUAUUUAAAAAAAUCACCAUAUAAUUAAUAGUUAUAUUUAAUUAAAGUAACAUACCAGACAUGCAUUAAUUUUGUUUAGUACCUCUUAUAUAUACUCUAAAAUCACUCGUCUUCAAGUAUGAAGGAUGAAUCAUUGAAUCAGAGUUUGAUAUGAGAUAUUCUAAAUGUCUUUAUCACUUUACUGAACCUUUAAGUUUUCUUGCAUUUCAAUUUUAAUCAGAAAAUUUGAAAAUUAGCAUUCUUUUUUGGCAACAAUUAAUUAAAUGCUUUCAAAAGCUUCAUUUACAACCACAAAUAUCCCUUGUCCUUCUUGCACUUUUAUAAAAAUUAGAGAUGAGAUCAAUAAAGAUUGCAUAUUUUAUUUUACCAUUUUCUUAAUAAAUUCCAUAAAUACAUGCAAAAAAAACUGCUUUUGAAAUCAAGUACGGAUUGCCAUAAUUAAUAUCUCCAUAUAUAGACUAGUUCUAGAAAAUUUGACCAGAUGGGUAAUUAACUAACGUGUUCAUAUAGUACUUGGAAACAUAUUUGGUAUUAUUGCAUGGCAAGCCUUAUCAUAGAACAAAAAUCUUAUCAAAGCUUACUCAUAACUUUAAUUAAUUUCGCUAAUACUGAUGCUUGUAAAGUAAAAAAUGAGAUUUCUUUCCUUUGUGAAAAGAUAUUUUCUUUACUCUUCUACGAUAAAACAAACAACCCUCUUUCUCAAUUUUCCAUAACACAAACAUGAAAGCUCUCUUUUUAGAAGUGAGUUCUUCCGAGGCCUCCAGUAUCAUUCUGGCGUCCUCAUCAGAAGACACUCCGCCUAUGGAGAAGAGUGAUGAAAAUAAGAGAAUGAAAAUGAAACACGUCGUUGAACCCUCUGAUGAAUCGCGACGUCCCGAAUCAAGUUCCAGUCUUUUGCUUGAUCUAAGGCUUUACAACGAUGAUUAUUUUGUUCGUGGUUCAAGUCUUUUCAACAGUAUGAACAUGAUGAAUAAUAAUCAUUGCCAUGAAGAGAAUAAUGGUCAUCCUACUUCAAGUGAAAAGAAAUCAUCAGCGGCUAGGGUUUUUUCAUGCAACUAUUGUAAGAGAGAGUUCUGAACUUCCCAAGCCCUAGGUGGCCACCAAAAUGCUCAUAAACAAGAGCGUGCUGCGGCCAAAAGGCGCCAAGGCGUGGAUCAAGAUGUUGGUGCUGCUGCUUUUGGCAAUCAAUACUUUUCUUUCUAUUCUCCUUAUUAUUCAAAAUUCUCUCCGUAUUACGGUUCAUUUAAUCGGUCACUCGGGGUUAAAAUGAACUCCAUGAUUCACAAACACGCGGCCUAUGGUUCACAACCUUGGCCAUCUGCUAAUUAUCGCUUUGGCCCGGGAAGUUGGCUUGCUAGGCAAGGCAUUAAUCCGCAACAGACAAGGAUGAGAAUGAACGGUUUUGGAAUUUCGGGGCCAUCUUCGAGAUUUGGGGAAAGAGAUGUACUUGCUGCAACAAAUAUUAUUCACAAAAAUAACCCAAUUAGUGUUGAUUUUCUCCAACGAGGUGUCCCUUCAAAAAGCAAUCAUCAAGAAGAUCCAACAGAACUUGACUUAUCCCUCAAGCUUUAGUUAUUACUCUUCUAUUUAAGAUUCUAAAUGUUUUCACAUUGUAAAUAUUUAUCAAGUGAUGAUGAUUCUCUCCAGCUAGCUUAGAAAAUCAUCAAAACUUGAUAUUUCGUAUCAAGCAUUAAUUAUUUUUCCAUUUAAUAUACCCUAUUAUUGUUCUUAAUUUGUAGCUUCUUUACAUAAAUGAAAAGAUAAGGCGUUGUUAAUUGUUCUGCUUUACUUCGGUUAUUAUUUUUAUUUUUUAUAUUUUUAGAUUUUGGUUUGAUAUAAGUAUAAACUCAUUUUGCUUAAGAUUGGGGUUUACACUCUAAAAUUUACUUUGAAAAUUUUUUAAACACAUAAUUAUAAAAUUUAAAAUUUAAUUGUAUAAGAAUUAACGUAUCAAAAUGAAAAAAAAACAAAAUCCUCAAAUCCAAUAGUAAGAGUUUUGAGUUCAGUGCAUCAGUUGAUAAAAAAUAAUAUACUCAAUAACAAGUACUCUUGCUCCGGCUAGAGCUAUAUGUUGACUUCUCACAUAAAUAACUUUAUCCUUCUAAAUUAUUCUUUGUUUUUUUUUUUUUUCAGAUCCUUCUAGAUUACUUAUUACCUCACUCAGGGAAAAUAAAACUCUUAAGUUUUAUGUUGAAUGAAACAAUACCUACCAUUUUAAAUAAUGUUAUGUUAUGGCCUGUGAUACUCUAUAAUUUUAAAAUUGGGGUUCUAUGAUGUUAGGACCGUUAUGUCUAUUACUAUAACUAGGAAGUGGCAGCUCUCUAUUUAAACGUUGCUUUUGAUGGUAAUAGACAAGAAGUAAUUUUAUUUGAAUUUUUCUUUUCCUCUAUCUGACUUUCUCUUCUCUAAUCUUGUUUUUACUGUUCGUCUUCUCUUGAUCUUCUUCUAAUUUUAUUUAAAGUCUAGAAGUAACCUUACAUAUAAAAUUAUAGUUUUUCUUUUUGUGAUAUUUAUUUAAUUUUGCAGACGCAAUGGAUGAUUUGACGAACUCCGAACAACUUGACAAGAUAACUAUGAGCUUCGUGCAUGAGGAGGAGAAGAAUAAAGAAGCAACUACUACUUUUGGCUGAGAAAUUAGGUUUCAGAAAUUAGGUAGUCAGACGUUGCUGUUAGCGAUAUGAUUUUUAGCAAUUGGUUGUCCCUAUGUGUUAGCUUGAUCGUCUUUUAAUUUGGAGACAUAAUAUAAUAUAUCAUUUUGACAUGUUAAGUUACAGAUGGUGUUAGCAUAUAAAUGGGCAACGGGCCGUGCUACCGUCCAAAGAAGGAUCAUGAGGGCUCGUGGCCCGCACAGGACGGCUCACUGUCUGAUUCGUAUCUUAUCGUGCCUAUUUUUUUUUUUUUAUUAGAUCAUGCAGGGCACACAUGCUAGCUCACACGUGCUCUACCAAAACGUGCAAUGGGUUGUGCAUAAAAAAAUAUAUUAAUAUUUUUUUAAAGAGGGUGUGCCAAGCUGUUAACGUGCUUUUUUCAAGCAUUUUUUUUUUAUCCAUAUGCCUUUGGCUAAAUUCAAUAAAAUUAAAAGUUCAAAACUUAAGUUUAUGUUUAAUAAUAAUAAACUAAUAAUAGUAAGAAAAAUUAAUAUUAACUAUCAAGUUCGUUCUUAUGGUAUUAGAAUUCUUUCUUAAUACUUAAUAACGACAAUAAUAAUAACAAUAAUAAUACUAAUAAUUAUUUUCUUAAGCGUUAACUUAAUUCUUAACUUGAACUUAUAUAGAGUGAUAAAUCAUAUCCCAUAAUAAUAUUAAUGCAUAAAUUUAUAAAAUCAUGAUAUUUAUGAUUUUAUUUAUUAAAAUCAUUAUAUCAUUUAUUCAUUAAAUAAAUCGUAAACAUAAAACAAAUAAAGCAUUUUUUUACUAAGAAUUAAUGAAUUUAAAAAAUUUAUACUAAUAAAAUACAUUGAAAGAUUCAAAUUCAAGCUAUUUGUAAGAUCAUAAAAUUUUAAGUUUACUUUCAUUAAAAAUUUUUACUUUGAUUUAAAAAUUUUACUUUAAUAUACCUUAGCCCCAUGCUAUGAUGGCCUGCGGGCAAUAUGCUAGGUACUAGUGAAACGUAUUUAUUAUAGACUUUUUUUUACAUGUCAAUCUUUAUCCCAUCUCUAAUUGUAUAUUGUUUUAAAGUCCAUAUACCUUAAAUUCUCAUUUCAGUCCAACCCAUCAAUCUUUAUCCCAUCUCUAAUUGUAUACUGUUUUAAAGUCCAUAUACCUUAAAUUCUCAUUUCAGUCCAACCCAUAUGUGUGCCAUGUACUGUACUAAAAUGCGCUCGUGCCAUGUUGUAUUAUACGAACACGUUCCAUGCCACGUGCCAUCCUACCUUGGCCAUCUCUUUGUUAGCAAUAAUAUGUAAAUGAUUGAUCUUAUAAAAAAAAAUCUUGAAAACAAAGUGAGUCCAAAAAUUAUCGAAGAAAUCAAGUUUUAACUUGGCAAAGCACGCAACCUAUGCCUGAAUUUUAGUUAGAUGUUUGAUGCGACAUAUUUCAACCAACGAAAUUGGUCCUAUUGGAUUUGUCCUAAAUUUUGUUUGGUUGCAAUAGAGAUCAUUUACUUAAUUAUUGUAUUAAAUUUUAACAAGUCAUUAUUAAGUGUAAUAUAUGCAGGUCAAACGAGAACCCUUUUUAACAAAAUUUUAAAGAAAAGGACACUUGUACCCUUAUGGUUUGGGAAAAUGGUCAUAAGGACUCUUAAGUUUUCAAUAAGUGAUACUAAAGCCCCGUUUGAUCAUAUUACCCUUUACCUCUAUAAUCCCAAAAUUAUUGACCCCAAAAGUUUAAUAAUAAAUAGAAAUAUGACAUUAAAUACAUGUAAUAAUUCAU